Lutra lutra (Eurasian river otter) is the source of this 7254-nucleotide RNA transcript. It is a transcript of the gene named aminoadipate-semialdehyde dehydrogenase, with no coding region annotated. Lineage: Eukaryota; Metazoa; Chordata; Mammalia; Carnivora; Mustelidae. The transcript has 16 exons. The record is from RefSeq and is a predicted model, not a curated record.
CUCAGAUCCCGGCGGCCGGUGCGGUGGGUAAGCUUUACGGCUUGUGGGUAAUGGCUGCUUUCACGUGUGUUGGGGGAGAUGCUGGAUUCGGUCUUUUGGAAGGUCCGGAUGGACUAAAGCCUCUGCCGCAGUCCUCAGGCCUUCUGAGUGGAGUUCUCUGCUACCAAUGAUGCUUAGAGAAACUUCAGUGAAAUGACUCUUCAAGAACUGGUGCAUCAGGCUGCCUCCAUUUAUUCAGAUAAAAUAGCUGUAUGUUUUGAUGAGUGUAACAGCCAGCCUCCAGUUUAUUAUACCUAUGAAACUGUGGUUACUGUUGCUUCAGAAUUAUCAAAUUUCCUGCAAUUACACUGUGACUUUCAAGGAAUUCGGGAAGUUGGUCUCUACUGCCAUCCUGGGAUAAAUUUACCCUCUUGGAUUUUAGGAAUUCUCCAAGUCCCUGCUGCUUAUGCUCCCGUUGAUCCAGAUUCACCACCAGCAUUAUCAACUCAUUUUAUGAAAAAAUGUAAUCUAAGUUAUAUUCUUGUUGAAAAACAGCAAAUUAAUAAAUUCAAAUCUUCCUACGAAACAUUAUUGAAUUAUGAUACACUUAAAGAACAUAAUGACCUCGUACUCUUCAGGCUUCACUGGAAAAAUGUUGAAGUGAGCUUGAUGCUAAAGGACAGAAAACAGAAAUAUGAAAAAGAAAAAAUGACAAACAGCACAAAUUCUGGGAACAGCAAUGAAGAAAAGUCAGAAGAGCACAUGGAUGUGAGGUUAAAGCAUUGCUUGGCCUAUGUUCUCCAUACAUCCGGCACUACGGGGAUACCUAAGAUUGUCAGAGUCCCUCAUGCAUGUAUAGUGCCAAACAUCCAACAUUUUCAGGUACUUUUUGAGGUCACGCAGGAAGAUGUUUUGUUUCUUGCUUCACCUCUGACCUUUGAUCCUUCUGUUGUGGAAAUAUUUGUUGCUCUAUCAAGUGGCGCCAGUCUGCUUAUCAUACCGACUUCUGUCAAAGUGCUUCCAUCAAAAUUAGCUGCUGUUCUCUUUUCCCAUCACAGAGUAACUAUUUUGCAGGCAACACCAACUUUGCUUAGAAGAUUUGGAUCUCAGCUUAUCCAGUCAACCGUUUUAUCAGCCAGUACUUCUCUUCGAGUAUUAGCCCUUGGCGGUGAAGCAUUUCCAUUAUUGACUGUUCUCAAAAGCUGGAGAGGAGUAGACAAUAAAACACAAAUAUUUAAUAUUUAUGGUAUCACAGAGGUAUCAAGUUGGGCAACUUUUUUCAGGAUCCCAGAGAAGUUUCUUAAUUCUACUUUAAAAUGUGAAUUGCCGGUACCACUGGGAUUUCCACUGUUUGGAACAGUAGUUGAAGUCAGAGAUACUAAUGGUUUCACAAUUCAAGAGGGCCAUGGCCAAGUAUUUUUAGGUGGCAGAAACAGAGUAUGUUUUCUUGAGGAUGAGAUGACAGUACCACUUGGCACGAUGCGAGCCACAGGAGAUUUGGUGAUGGUGAAAGAUGGAGAGAUGUUUUUCUUGGGACGAAAGGACAGUCAGAUCAAACGACAUGGCAAACGUCUUAACAUUGAACUUGUGCAACAGGUUGCUGAAGGACUUCAGCAAGUGGAGUCUUGCGCAGUUACCUGGUAUAAUCAGGAAAAAUUAAUUCUGUUCGUGGUGUCCAAAAAUGAGUUAGUAAAGGAAUACAUCUUUAAAGAACUGCAGAAACAUCUUCCAAGUCAUGCAGUCCCGGAUGAACUCUUGUUGAUUGAAUCUCUACCAUUUACAUCUCAUGGCAAAAUUGAUGUUUUGGAGUUAAACAAGAUAUAUUUAAACUAUUUAAACUUGAAAUCUGAGUGCAAACUCAAUGGAAAAGAGGAACUUUGGGAAAAAUUACAGUAUUUGUGGAAGUCGAUUCUGAAUCUCUCAGAAGAUCCUUUGAAGGUUCCCGAUGAGUCACUCUUCUUAAAUAGUGGUGGAGAUUCCUUAAAGUCUGUACGGUUCCUCAGUGAGAUUGAAAAACUAGUUGGCACAUCAGUGCCUGGGCUUCUGGAAAUUAUUCUAAGCAGUUCCAUUUUAGAGAUUUACAAUCAUGUCCUUCAGACAGUGUUUCCAGAUGAAGAUCUGGUAUUCAGCAAGAAUCAUGCCACGAAAAGAAAAUUCAGCGACAGUAACCAAGAAGAAACCAGUAGAAAAUCUUUACAUCAGAAAUCUGUCAUGACGUUAAGUUGUGACAAUGAACUAACUGCUUUUACUGUGGUGAGCAGAGGGAAUCAGAUUUUGUCACUGAAUACCAAGUUUUUAACUAGGUUAGGGCUUUGCUCUUCAGCCCAUUCUUCUGAUUUAAUUUCACCGACUAAUACUCAAAAUGUAAAAAGCUUAAACCCUCCCGCUCUUCUUGGGAAGUCACAAGAUGCAUCCUGUGUUGCAGAAGUUUCUGAAGCAGGAACAUGUGUGGUAGCGGCCAAGAAAAUGGAGCUGCACGUGAGAUGGAGGGCAGACACCGGCAAAUGUGUGGAUGCUUCCCCUCUGGUUGUAAUCCCUGCUGUCGAGAAGUCCUCCCCAACCGUGUACGUGGGCUCGCAUUCUCACAGAAUGAUGGCACUUGACCUUCACUCUGGCAAGGUGAAGUGGGAGCAGAUUUUGGGAGACCGAAUUGAAUCCUCAGCGUGUAUAUCUAGGUGUGGAGACUUCAUUGUAGUGGGCUGUUACAAUGGGUUAGUUUAUGUUCUGAGAAGUAAUAGUGGAGAAACACACUGGACGUUUCCUGCGGAGGAUGCUGUCAGGAGCUCGGCAGCCGUGGACGCGACCACAGGACUUCUCUACGUCGGCUCUCACGACCGGCGCGCAUAUGCUUUGGAUAUUUAUGAAAAAAAGUGUGUUUGGAAGUUAAAUUGUGGAGGAGCUGUCUUUUCUUCCCCCUGUUUGAGCCUGCUUCCACAUCACUUAUAUGUGGCUACACUGGGAGGACAUUUGCUGGCUAUAAAUCCUGCCACUGGGAACAGAGUUUGGAAACAUUCCUGUGGAAAACCACUCUUUUCUUCUCCACGGUGUUGCCUGCAGUAUGUUUGUAUUGGCUGUGUGGAUGGGAAUUUACUCUGCUUUACUCACUUUGGAGAACAGGUCUGGCAGUUCUCGACCAGUGAACCAAUCUUUUCAUCCCCAUGUACCUCAGCAUCAGAGCAAGAAAUAUUUUUUGGUUCCCACGAUUGCUUCAUCUACUGUUGUGAUAUGAAAGGUCAUCUCCAGUGGAAAUUUGAAACCACUUCACGGGUGUAUGCCACACCGUUUGCUUUCCGUCGCCGAGAAGGCAGCCGUGAAGUGUUGCUGGCAGCGGCAUCUACCGAUGGGAAACUGUGGAUCUUGGACUCUAAGCGUGGCCAACUGCAAAGCGCAUAUGAACUUCCGGGGGAAGUUUUCUCUUCUCCUGUGGUCUGGGAAUCAAUGCUUAUUAUUGGAUGUAGAAAUAAUUACGUUUAUUGUCUGGAUUUGUUGGGUGGCUAUCAAGUAUAAUCAGACUCCGUUCUUAUUGGAUCAGCUGAGCUGUCUGAAAAUAUUACAGAGCAUUUGGAUAGUCUUAUUUUUUACUAAAGAUUAUAUUUUGCCUAAGAAACUUGCCUAUUAUACUUUAUUGGAGAAUGAUUAUACUUUACUUCAGUAGGAGCAACAAGUGCUUUUAAAAGGAAUUAUAGGACAGAAACAUCUAUUUAUUACUUUCUUUUAAUUAGGCUACAGAUAUUCAACUUUGGGUUUUUUUCUUUGCUUUUAAAGACGACUUCUGUGAAAAACAAGAUCAGAAUAUACCCUGUGGGUUAAAAACUUAGUCCAUGAUGUGAUGUUCCACUUAACCUAUUUACAGUGAGAUUCGUAACAAAGGUUAUCAAAGAAUUUCCCCCAUAGUUUGUUGAUCAGAAAAGACUGCAACACAACUAAAGCAAAAUAACACUUCAUUGGUAUUUAGUGCAAAUUUGGAGCCAUUUUACAUGAAAUAUUAAACAUGGACCCUUUAGAAGUUGCUGGAAGUAAGUGCUGUGACUAUCCUGUCCUCAGUGUACCCUUUUCCUUUUGAAGACUUGAAGAGAAACUUUGUAACUGAGGUAUUUUCUCCUACUUUGUGUGUGCUCGGUGCUGUGUGCGCCAGCAGCAGUGGCUCAUCUAGGAUCCUUCGUCAGUGACCCGACUGCUUCCCCGUUCUCUGCCCUCACUGCGGUGUCAUCCAGAGCUGGCGGGAUGAGAGGAAAAGUUCAGAAGGAUUCUCGUCGCGCUGUAGACCAGGGCUCUAGUGGAAAGACUCCCAUUAAAAAGUGUGUUCUGUCAGUAGUGACACCACUGAGAAUGAACAAAUGCCGCCACGUUUGAUUUAGAAAUGAACAUCGGUGUGGAAAACAUGCAGCGGGAUAUGAAUUGCUUCCCACAGGAAUAAAAGAAAAUUAGUUACACUGAUUCUUAACAGAUGGAAGGUCCGGUCUAUAGAACAAUAAAGCCAACUUGCAAGGGUACAACUGUCCACUUGACCACACCUGCCCACUGCUAACCAUGGGGCUGAGCCAUCGUUUCCAGAAAGAAGAUGCCUUCUAUAUAGUGAGUGACAGCAACGAUACGUUGCCAGUCAAAUGAGCUCUACGUAGAGUAAAAUGAUGAAUAAUGGUAAAAUGUGUUUUUGCAAGAGGGGAAAAAGGAAUGCAGUUCCCCAUGCACUGGGCGAGAGAGGUGUACUUCUACUGUGGGGUACGGUUUCAGCCAAGGAGAAUGUGCCACCCCUGUGCGCUGUAACGUCCGUGUUGGCGAUGUGUGGGUUUGCUGGUGGGUCUAUGCCUCAUGCUUUUGAACUGCCACGUCCCUUCUUUGGACCACGUGUGUGGAUAGCAGCAAGGCCACUUAAGACUUGGAGAUGGUUUUUAAAGGUACCAAGGUGAAUGCUCAAAAUUGCAAAUGCUGUUGAACAUCUGACUCUGAAUAUGAAGCACUCGACUAUGGUGAAGAAACUUCCACAGAAGUCCUCAGUACAAAGGCUCCAAGUCUUGUCUUCCUGUUAAAUUCUCCCUAAAGACCUAAGGGAUAUUCAGAGACCUUCAAUGCCAGUAGCUUCUCCUAUCUUAUAGUAGAAGUCUGGCGUGGGGGGUUUUUAUUUUUCCUCUCACUUAUGUGGGUAAAAUGAGCCUCCCCUUCAGAGUUUUAAAAGCUGGAUUACCCUGGAAGCAGUGUAUCCCACAGUACUCCUUUGGGAUGUGUCAGAAUUCGUCUGAUAGACCUUCCCGGCCCAGACUCACAGGCUCUAAUUCGGAAGGCAGGAGGCGGACCUGGACGUCUUAACCACUGCACUGGGGGAGAUUCUCAGAGCUGGGAAGACAAUCUGUCGCUUCCUUUCUUCAUGACCCUAAAUAAAAAUGUUCCCUCGGAGCCACAUGGGCCAAAUGUUUAACACGUCUUUACGGAGAGCACUAGUAUGACAGGACCUAUGGGACAUCAGUGCGGCGGAAGGGUGAGGAGAUUCACUGUGUUACGGUUUCAGAUGAGGAGGGAAGUCAGACAAGCAGACAAGGGGAGAGACGGCAGCCAGACUGUUAGGAUUCCCAGGUACUCAAUGCACUCGGGAGAACGGGCAUCUUGUUUCUGUCUGUAUGACCCUUUCUUUCACCAUGAUUGUAGAAAAGAAAAGAAACCACCAAACAUGGUAGGGUAAAUGUUCCAGAUUAAAGAAGUUGGAGACCCAAAAAAUCAUUUAAAAGAUUGGCAAAAGUCCUGUUCUAAAUGGUGUGUGCAUGUGUACGUGUGGAAGGGGCCUAGUAGGCUCUUGUGACAAAAUCUUAGUUUGGAGAUUCUGCUCCACGUGGUCCCUCGGAUGGAAUUUUCUCUUGAGAACAAGGAGGAGCCCCAGGCACCAGGACCUAGGAUUGUGCAAAUACAGUCUUUACAGUUUCUGCACAUGAUUUUAGAGCCUGUAACACAUGCUGCUUUUCCCUCGUGUGGCGUCUUCACCUCCUAUAAAAAAUAAAUAACACGGGCAAGAGAGGAGCCAAGAGCUGGCGGUAGGAGUGGAUGAAAGUCACUCUACUUAAUGAUCUGCGGACAGUCGCUCCAGGCCUUGGCUUUCCUUUUGGCCAAAGCCAGCCAGGCUGGUUCUGUUGACACAGGGGCGGCAUCCGGGGUUGAGAACCUCUUUGUGGCUUCCUUCACCAGCGGCGCGGGGGGCGCGGGACCCGAGGUCUCCACUGCGUUGCGUUUUGAAGGAAAAGGAUAAGCGUAAGUCAGAGCCACGUUCUGAGGUGACAGAAGUACAAGACUCAGAAUGGAGACCCCGUGAGACACUGGGCAUCUUUAGUGAGAAGGAUUAGGGAAAGAAAGCAGUGUGAUCAGAACUACUGCUUACAGAACUAUGGUGCAGCUGCUUUUAAUCUCAGAGUUUCUGGAAGCCUCAUUUGUAUGCACAGAAGCUAUGCCUCCAUGAUAGGAAAUAAAAGGGAAAUGCUAUAUUCUAGUUAUCCGGCUGGUCAGUUCCAUGAAGAAAAACAUCCAACCAGUAGCCUGAAUUUAUCUAACUGGUGAGAUCAAAAGUUACCCUCUCCACCAAGCAGGCCUGGGCUGCCCCCCGCCCCCCGCCCAGGCCCCUGCUCCUGCCAGCUCUGACCACUUCCAGGCUUGUCUCACAAUUCUUUCUUCACCUGACCUUAAAGGCUUCUUAAGGUGAGGGAUCUGGGCUUAUCUCUGAGUCCUAUUUAGUGCCUGUGGCAGUGGCCUACCCAUGAACAGAAGUCAGGAAAUACUGAUGGAAAAGACAAAUAAAUCAGAACAAACGUUUGCUUCAUCGAGCAGAGCCGCUCUGAACCGCAUUAACUCUCUGGCACUUCCACAGAAGUCACACAGAGAAAGGUGUGAUCCCCGACUUUGGAAUUUUAUUUUGAAAGAAUGAUCCCUUUUACAACCCAUAUGGUUAGAACCCUCAGGUCUUGGGUGUAAGAUCAAAUGAAAUUACAUCCAUGAAGUUUCUGAGAAAUUACAAUGCUCCAAAGUGCUCUUCUAAUACAGUUGUUUUUUUUCUCUUCACCAAAAUAAUACAUAGAGCUUCAAGGGCAGGACCUCUUUACGUCUCCAAACCUGAGCUAGCAGGUGACAGAGGCAUAAAACAGCCUGGGUCUCUGGGUGGUUGCCCAGAAGGGAAAACAGGUGCUCUGCUAACCGGGGGGAAGCUUGUUCCAACUCCUCUCCAUCCUUCAAGUGAUUUGUAACAAGGAAAUAGUUUGAAACGUUACAGGAUCGCUUUAACAGAAUAAAGAAUUUUUU